Hyaena hyaena (striped hyena) is the source of this 1506-nucleotide non-coding RNA. The record is from the annotation of a RefSeq genome assembly. Lineage: Eukaryota; Metazoa; Chordata; Mammalia; Carnivora; Hyaenidae.
UGUGAGGCAGUGCUGCAAUGUGCUCCUGGGAUACCCGACAGAUAUUUUUUGGAGCCGGCACCAAACUCGUCGUGGAACCACAAAGCCAGCCUCCUGUCAAACCAUCCGUUUUCAUCAUGCGAAAUGGGACGACGGUUGCUUGUCUGGUGAAGGAUUUCUACCCUAAGGAUAUAGACAUAAAACUCGAAUCAACCAAGAAACUAGAAGAAUUUGACCCUGCUAUUGUCGUCACUCCCAGUGGGAAGUACAGUGCUGUCAAGCUUGGUCGGUAUGAAGAUCCAACUACAGUGACCUGUUCUGUUCAACACAACAGUGAAGUCGUGAGCUCCACUAACUUUGAACCAAAGACAAAAACUUCAAGUACUAUAAAACCAAAACCAACGGAAACUGAAAACAUAAAGCUAACUCCACAGAAGAUCAUUAAGCCUAAAGCCACAGUUCAUCACAGUUCACAGUUCACAGCCAGGAAUGUGAACAUGCUGUCCCUCACAGUGCUGGGGCUCCGGAUGGUGUUUGCCAAGAGUCUUGCCAUCAAUUUUCUCUUGACUGCCAAGUUAUUUUUCUUUUAAGACUGACUGGCAUGAGAAGGCUGCCUUAUGAGACUCCCACAUUAUGUCUCCACAAAAACCUACAGAGGACCUGUCUCCUAGACUUCUGGCUUCUUGGUGAUUCAAGGUGACUGAUCCCAGCCUUGCUUAAAUGGCUGCUACGCAAGCCAUCGAAGGCAACAAACAGCUCGUUUUCUGGCCUGGUGGAAAGACAAAGUCCUAGGGAGUAAGGCAUAUGGUCCUAACUGCUCUAUCUGCUGCUUUAUAAAGGGAUUUAGGACUCAUUUUUUUUUAAUUUCUACAACAGAUACACUUUGAAAAUAGUGUUUUGUUUUGACUUUCUUUGCCUUCAGAAGUAGAAAGUGGGAGCCAACAGAUUCCCAGCUGCAUACUCCCAGAUGAAAAUAGACCCUGGGGGACGGAGAGCAGAUGCCCUUCACCUAACAGGAAUGGCUUCAUUCAGCCCAGCACUAGGUUUGCCUUAAGCUGGCACUCUCAUCCAAAAAAGCACUUUCUGCUUUUCUUAGUACUUUACAAACAAAAUUACAUUUGACUUUUCAUGCAACCAAUGGGGUUUCUAAAGCCUCAUCUAAAUACUCUCCAAGCUCUUAGCAAAGAUCAGGGUAAAAUGCAGAGAAAACUGCUUUUAUUAACUGACUUAACAAACAUGAAUUGACUCCUUCUAAGUUCUAGGCACUGAGCUGAGGGUGUAAAGAUGAAUGAGAGGUGGGCCUGCUUUCAAGCAACUCACUGGGCCAAGUGUUUUUGCAGGGAGGGAUAGGAAUGACUCUUAGAUUUGGGCUAUAAAAAGAGUAUCUUUACUGGGUUUUGCCUGCCAAUCUAUACACAGGGAAUUUGAGGUCAGUGGAUGCUGAAUCUUGCCUGCCCCUCAUUGUUGACGGUUUUCUGCCAUUCCCAGUGCUGUCUCUGUUGCAUUUAUUAAAGUGCAUUGAGUGUG